AGCAGUAGCCACGGGAAUACGAGGGGGGCUAGCGUUGUUCGGAAUUACUGGGCGUAAAGGGCGCGUAGGCGGCCAUUCAAGUUAAAUGUGAAAGCCCUGGGCUCAACCUAGGAAUUGCAUUUGAUACUGUUUGGCUUGAGUUCGGGAGAGGUGAGUGGAAUUCCCAGUGUAGAGGUGAAAUUCGUAGAUAUUGGGAAGAACACCAGUGGCGAAGGCGGCUCACUGGACCGACACUGACGCUGAGGCGCGAAAGCGUGGGGAGCAAACAGGAUUAGAUACCCCGUAGUCCCUGUCUCUUAUACA
Molecule: ribosomal RNA, 303 nt
Filed under: uncultured bacterium
Lineage: Bacteria
Description: partial 16S ribosomal RNA
Rfam family: Bacterial small subunit ribosomal RNA
Source: RNAcentral